UAAAGUAUUAAGUACAUCUAAUAGUUCUAUGUAUAAAAAUUGACAAUUUAUCUCAAAAUAUGUGAAUACAGGGCAAUUCUAUUAAAGUACCAAAUUUGCUAAAAAAUGUUGUUGAAAAUGGACCUUUUUUUUUUUUUUUUAUUGAAUAGUUCAAAGUAUUAUAUGACAAAAAAAACAGUUUUACCUUAAAAUUCAGACUUUCUACUAAAACAAACUGUAAUUUUGAUCUUAUUUCAACCUUUAUUUUUGUUUUUAUUUUUAUUGACAUAAAUGUGUUUUUCUAGAAUUUGAAUCCAGCCUGUACUGAAAAUGUCCAUAAAACCUCAAAAGUCGCUCAAAUUGAAACAAUAUUUUGUUAAACGUUAUGGUUCACUACAAGCUACUAUUCCUUAACGGGAUUUUCGUUGCAAAUUGAUAUAAGCUUAUUUAAAUAAAUGAUGAAAAACUGAAAAAUAUACCUAAAAUUAUCUCCCUUUGUAAAACUCUUCACAAUAUAAGUCAGAUUUAUUGUCAAUAACAGAAGGAGGGAAAUCAACAAAUGUGCAAAAGGAUAGAAAAUAAUGGUAUUUUUGAUGAAUAUGGUGUAGCCAAAAACUUAUUUCAUUGAAAGAGUGUAACAAAAACAUAGUAAACCAUGUGGCCAAGACAUUCCAACUGCCAUUGGGAUAUUAAAAGUCUGAUCCUGAUCAGAUAGUCUAGACAUGACAUGAGGCUAGACUCACUAUCUGAUAAUCAUGUCUAGGUUUCAGACUCACAUAACAUAAUGUUAAAUGCAUAUGCUGCAAACAUGGACAGGAGUUGGAUUGCAGUGGACAAGAAGACAAAAUGAGUUGCUGUCAUCCUUUCAUGACCCUUGCAAAUCUAGCAACGGAAAUUCGUAGGCAAAACGUUCAGUUUCAUUUGGUUCUGGUUAAUGUUGAAGAUGGAAAAGCACAAAAAAAAUAUAAAAAUGAAAGCAGAUACAUGUAUGAUAGGAGAUCUUAUAGAUAUUUGGUGAUCCAAAAAUAACUGGAGUUCAUGAAACAAGACUGAUUGCUGGGACACAUUUUUGUUGAUAAACAUGUUUAUGAUGAAGAAAAACUUAGAUAAUAUUACGGAUACUUGAAUAAGGCUCUGAUCUGUCUUUGAUUUUUCCUGUUGGUGUUAAAAAAUUGCAAGCUCAAAUAAAAAUAAAUUGAAAUGGAACUCAUGGAUAUGCUUUGAAAAAAAGAAAUAAACAGCAAUGUGAAUCUCGCCGAAGUCUUACCAACAACCAAGUCAACACACAGUUGCAACACAAAUGAGAAGAGAGAGACAUUUGCAAGGACUUAGAGUGUUCUCACUGUCUCACCAUUAGAAUGGCUUUCUCAUCAGCAAAGAAGAAGUCUAAAAAUUACUUCUGCAUUAAAAGGUCAUCAAUAUUGAAGACAAUCAAGAAGUUUACGGUUGUACUUGGCCAUUUGAUAAACAUUAUAAUAUUUUCAUUUGUCAGAAAUUGUUACUUAGAUUGACUAACUAGUUUUAUUGAUUGAAUUAUUAGUAAAUUAGCUUUCGUAGUUCAUGUAGUUACAUGUAUGUAAAUCUUUAUCAGAUAUUAUGGAAAUAAUUUAAUACGUCCCUAAAUUCCAUACCUAAUGCAACAAUUGUCUUGUGCUGCUAAGUCAAUUUGAAUUAACUUUUAUGUAUGUUUAUAGUAAUCUUAUUCUUGCAUUUAAGCAUCAUUUUGUGUUAUUGUAUCAUCUACAUUGAUUGUUAAAUAUAAUACUAAUGGUAUAAAUAAAAUAACAUUUCUGAUCAUUUAAACACAGAUUGAAAUAUUUAUAAAUAUAUCAAUGCUAAAAGGAAUUUAGACAUUUUUCGAGGAGAAUUUAAGAAAGUACUACAACAAAAGCAAACGAAUAGUAUAUGCUCAACUGCAAUAUUAACUUUCUCACCAGAUAACCUAAUAGAGAUAUAUUUGUAUUUUAUUAAAUUGAUGAAGCGUAUGUUAGUUUAAAUAAAUAUGUACAUGCAAUUUUAAGGUUUUAAAAAAACAACAUUUUUAUUGGAUUAUCUCCCUUUGUACAAUAGAAAUUCAGAUUUUAUCAUCACUGUCUCAGGUACUCAUGAUCAAAAUGACUUAUAUUGUUACCAGCAUGCAAGUAAAAGGUUGCAACUGUCUUAUCUUUGUUUACCUGUAGAACACAUAUUCUGAAUGUCAAUACUUAAGAUUUUUCAAUAUGAUGAACUUGAUAUUAAAUUUCAUAUCAUUUUUGAGUAACCAGAAUAAA
Mytilus trossulus (common blue mussel) is the source of this 2249-nucleotide long non-coding RNA. RefSeq lists it as uncharacterized. Lineage: Eukaryota; Metazoa; Mollusca; Bivalvia; Mytilida; Mytilidae. The record is from RefSeq and is a predicted model, not a curated record. The transcript has 3 exons.